RNAcentral lists this ribosomal RNA (270 nucleotides) under uncultured bacterium. Its description in RNAcentral is "partial 16S ribosomal RNA". It matches the Rfam family "Bacterial small subunit ribosomal RNA", at positions 57 to 305 of the family's 1533-position model. The record is from RNAcentral.
GCAAGUCGAACGAGACGAGAGCUUAGCUUGCUUUGCUCGAGUUUAGUGGCGGACGGGUGAGUAACACGUGAGCAACCUGCCCAGAAGUAGGGGAUAGCCCGCCGAAAGGUGGAUUAAUACCGUAUGUGAUCUCCAGGGGAUUCCCUGGUCGAUUAAAGGUGGGGAUCCUUCGGGACCUGCCGCUUCUGGAUGGGCUCGCGGCCUAUCAGCUUGUUGGUGAGGUAACGGCUCACCAAGGCGACGACGGGUAGCUGGUCUGAGAGGAUGAUC